UACGUAGGGUGCGAGCGUUGUCCGGAAUUAUUGGGCGUAAAGAGCUCGUAGGCGGUCUGUCGCGUCGGUCGUGAAAACCUGCAGCUUAACUGUGGGCGUGCGGUCGAUACGGGCAUGACUGGAGUUCGGCAGGGGAGACUGGAAUUCCUGGUGUAGCGGUGGAAUGCGCAGAUAUCAGGAGGAACACCGGUGGCGAAGGCGGGUCUCUGGGCAGUAACUGACGCUGGAGGAGCGAAAGCGUGGGGAGCGAACAGG
Molecule: ribosomal RNA, 255 nt
Filed under: uncultured bacterium
Lineage: Bacteria
Description: partial 16S ribosomal RNA
Rfam family: Bacterial small subunit ribosomal RNA
Source: RNAcentral